RNAcentral lists this long non-coding RNA (1647 nucleotides) under Papio anubis (olive baboon). RNAcentral describes it as "lncRNA (ENSPANG00000040182.1)". Lineage: Eukaryota; Metazoa; Chordata; Mammalia; Primates; Cercopithecidae. The record is from RNAcentral.
UGGUAACUGGCACGUGGUAAGUACUAUGUAAGUGCUACCACUUAUUAUUUCUGACACCUGCAAUUAGUAGGAUAUAGAUCAUGAAAUAAAAUAAUUUGGUUGGAAUAGAAAGAUUAGAGGGAUACACUUGUCACCUUACAUCACUUCUUUUCUUGCCAUAGAGCAACUGAGUCAAUAUAUAAGAGGCUCUCACGGUAUUAUUUUUAGACUGUUAUGAGGAGAAAUGUCUAACCUUAUUCACACUUGAGAUAACAAAUUAUUAAUGUCAUGAGAAUUAUCCAUUACCGAGGGUGGGCUGAGAACCAUCAAGAUUGUGCUAUGUAAGCACUUUGGCUUGUGCUGUUGGGUGAGGCUCUUUGGAAUGUAUUGCAGACAAUUUAUGUUUCCUGCAAAAAUGCAGAGAAAAGCCAAAAUCUUGCAAAGCAGGGCUUCAGAGCAUUGGUUUUUUUAAUGUAAUUUUUCUAAUCCUUGCCAUCAGAGGAGAUGUGUUUUGCCCUGGGAACCCCAACUGUAUUUAAGUUAAAUUAUUUUUAAUUAGUCUCAAAUUAUUUUCCUGGGAGGUCAUAGAUGUGAACAUUCCUCCUCCCCUUCUCCAUUAUCCGAUUCAGGAGCAUCCAGUCAGAGCCACGGACCCAACUUUGGGCAAGAGUUUAUCCCAAAGUCAUUUGAUCUUAGACCAGUUGCCAAAGGAGAUGGAAAGAGUUGAGGACCAUGAGGCGCCACUGUGGGGAGAUGAAUACCAGCCAUCAGCAGCCUCCGCCUCUGCCAGCAAGUCAAGGGGUGAGCGAGCAGCCACUGAGAAUCACAGGUGCAGAGUCACCAGGCAGUGGUUGCACUUUCCAGACCCCUUUCCGCUCAAUGCCCACAUUCUUUCUACACUGGACGCUAAAUUUGAUCCCAGACUGUCAUUUGUGAUGGCAUGAGGGGUCAUUGCAGCUCUGGAGACACUGAAUCAAUACCAGAGAGGACAAGGGGUCUUGAGAAGAAGCAUCGGGAAUUAGAAUCUAAUAUACAAGAGGAUCACGAAAUGCAGUAAGAGCACUGGGGCUGCAGGCUGUGGAAUCCUGAGACAAGAGAAGAGGAAACCAAGGAGGGCCGGUCAGAAAGUUGAUCUGAGACUUUACAGAGUUCCUGAGGAAUAAAGUCGAAGGAGCCCAGACCUUUCUGGACCUUUGGACGCUCCGGCAGCUAUGCAGAUAGAAGGUGUGUUCUCCUCCCCGGGCCCCUUGGCUGACAGCCAUGAUGAUAGCCGAUUCCCUUCCUUCUGAGCAACAGGGCGUCCAGUUCUCACUGCAGACUCCACCCUGCUUCAUCUACAUCUUGCUGUCCUCCAGUUCCUGCACCUCUAUGGAGCCCUUUUCAGCGUUCCCAGGUUGUCAGACGCCUCUCUGAGGGCCCUGCCCCUGGUACCGUGCCUCUAUUAGAACCUGGCUCACCGUGUCUGGCGAGGCUUUGCUCUGCUCCUCAGUGGGGCACUAGAUGGUGGAACCCUGGCGAACCAGAACUGUGCCACAGUCUUCUCUCUGUCCGUCCUCACACCUCAUAUGGAGCGUGGCAUAAACUAGGCACCAUUUGUUUGUUAAAUAAAAACAAAAUUCUUUCUCCUCAUUUCCCAUGAAAGUUGCAAUCUAAACCAGCAUAAUUAAG